UGGCUCUGUUUUCCUGGGAGGUGGACUCAGCUCCCUUCACCUCCCCUCAACUGAGCCUAGAGAAUAGAGGCCAACUGUCCUGUGUGGGAGAGGCAUUUCAAAAAGGAGCCUUGCCCGGGCUGUGUCAGCCUCACAUUU
Molecule: small nucleolar RNA, 138 nt
Filed under: Chinchilla lanigera (long-tailed chinchilla)
Lineage: Eukaryota; Metazoa; Chordata; Mammalia; Rodentia; Chinchillidae
Description: Small Cajal body specific RNA 21 (ENSCLAG00000019950.1)
Rfam family: Small Cajal body specific RNA 21
About the family: scaRNAs are a specific class of small nuclear RNAs which localise to the Cajal bodies and guide the modification of RNA polymerase II transcribed spliceosomal RNAs U1, U2, U4, U5 and U12. ACA68 (SCARNA21) is a member of the H/ACA class of snoRNAs that guide the sites of modification of uridines to pseudouridines. This snoRNA was identified by computational screening and its expression in mouse experimentally verified by Northern blot and primer extension analysis.
Source: Rfam by way of RNAcentral